GACGAACGCUGGCGGCGUGCUUAACACAUGCAAGUCGAGCGGUAAGGCCCUUUCGGGGGUACACGAGCGGCGAACGGGUGAGUAACACGUGGGUGACCUGCCCUCAGCUCUGGGAUAAGCCUGGGAAACCGGGUCUAAUACUGGAUAUGACUCCAUGACGCAUGUUGUGGGGUGGAAAGCCUUGUGCGGCUGAGGAUGGGCCCGCGGCCUAUCAGCUUGUUGGUGGGGUGANGGCCUACCAAGGCGACGACGGGUAGCCGGCCUGAGAGGGCGACCGGCCACACUGGGACUGAGACACGGCCCAGACUCCUACGGGAGGCAGCAGGUGGGGAAUCUUGCGCAAGUGGGCGAAAGCCUGACGCAGCGACGCCGCGUGAGGGAUGACGGCC
RNAcentral lists this ribosomal RNA (389 nucleotides) under uncultured bacterium. RNAcentral describes it as "bacterial SSU rRNA". It matches the Rfam family "Bacterial small subunit ribosomal RNA", at positions 28 to 416 of the family's 1533-position model. The record is from RNAcentral.